Molecule: non-coding RNA, 281 nt
Organism: Lolium perenne
Lineage: Eukaryota; Viridiplantae; Streptophyta; Magnoliopsida; Poales; Poaceae
Source: RefSeq, a predicted model, not a curated record
ACCAACCUGUGGUUGGAUGGUUAGGAGGGCAGUGGCACCCCAAGCCCACCAGAGUUCAAAUCCCAGAUUUGACACUUUGGUGUCUCAUAAAGGCGGAAUAUUCUUCAGUGGGAGGCGACGUUCCCGUCGACAGCGAGGCGCCUGUGGUGACUUCGUCAAUCUCAAGACCCGCCGGAUCAGUUCUUCAACGCAGUCUCUUGGAGGUGCUCAUAGGGGUAGGGUGUGCGUGUGUGCGUUCAUAGGGGUGAGUGUGUGCGCGUAUGUAUGAGCGUCUUUGAUUG